Molecule: ribosomal RNA, 465 nt
Filed under: uncultured bacterium
Lineage: Bacteria
Description: partial 16S ribosomal RNA
Rfam family: Bacterial small subunit ribosomal RNA
Source: RNAcentral
GACGAACGCUGGCGGCGUGCUUAACACAUGCAAGUCGAACGGAAAGGCCCCUUUGGGGGUACUCGAGUGGCGAACGGGUGGGUAACACGUGAGUAACCUGCCCUUGACUUCGGGAUAACUUCAGGAAACUGGGGCUAAUACCGGAUAGGAAUCCUUGCUGCAUGGUGGGGGUUGGAAAGCUUCGGCGGUUUCGGAUGGACUCGCGGCCUAUCAGCUUGUUGGUGGGGUAGUGGCUUACCAAGGCUUUGACGGGUAGCCGGCCCGAGAGGGCGACCGGCCACAUUGGGACUGGGACACGGCCCAGACUCCUACGGGAGGCAGCAGUGGGGAAGAUUGCACAAUGGGCGGAAGCCUGAGGCAGCACCGCCGCGGGCGGGAGGACGGCCUUCGGGUUGGAAUCCGCUUUCAGCAGGGGCGAAGCUUGUGGUGACGGUACCUGCAGAAGAAGCACCGGCUAACUACGUG